This 253-nucleotide ribosomal RNA is filed under the name uncultured bacterium. Its description in RNAcentral is "partial 16S ribosomal RNA". It matches the Rfam family "Bacterial small subunit ribosomal RNA", at positions 524 to 776 of the family's 1533-position model. The record is from RNAcentral.
UACAGAGACUGCAAGCGUUGUUCGGAUUCAUUGGGCGUAAAGGGUCCGUAGGCGGUCGGCUAAGUCGGAUGUGAAAUCUCGUGGCCUAACCACGAGCGGUCAUUCGAAACUAGUCGGCUAGAGGGCUGGAGAGGAGACUGGAAUUGUCGGUGUAGCGGUGAAAUGCGUAGAGAUCGACAAGAACACCGGUGGCGAAGGCGGGUCUCUGGACAGUUCCUGACGCUGAGGGACGAAAGCUAGGGGAGCAAACGGG